This is a non-coding RNA of Elaeis guineensis (African oil palm), 1529 nucleotides long. Lineage: Eukaryota; Viridiplantae; Streptophyta; Magnoliopsida; Arecales; Arecaceae. The record is from RefSeq and is a predicted model, not a curated record.
AAUUGAUGACAUUUGGUUCCAAGACUUGCUCUUUUCUUUGGCAAGUCUUUUAUGCCAGGAUCUUAAGAUGAUACAUGAUUCUUUCUUCUCCUUUACAUCCUGCAAACUUGAACCAAUGUGAACCUGGAUAUUCGCUGUAUCUCCUAUUUUCACUUUUGGAGCUUGAAGAGAUGCAAAUCAUUACAUGGAAAAAUCUUUAGGGCUAUACAAAACUUGGGAGAACUAAUUUACCAAAGUGAAAGUAUAUAAUUAAUCAUCUUUCAGUACUAAAUGCCUGACAAGAUGAUCAACUUUCUCAUGUUUUCAAAAAGCAAAUGGUGUAAUUCAAAACAAUGUCAUUCUAGUAAGAGUAUCAUGGAAUUAGGUUUGCUUGAGCAUUGCAUGCUUGAGUAAAUGAAAUAAUUUUUGGGUUUCAACUAUAUAACUACUGGAAUAACUAGGGGAGCACACACCCGAGUUUAAGCACAACCUUGUUACUGCAGAGUCAAUGCUGCAUGGUCAUCAUGGAGUUGAGACACUGCAAUAAGGAAUGCAAGAGUUCUGAUAAAGCAACCUGAUAUACACUAUACAGGAACAUGCAUGUUUAGUGUUUUAGCCAUAUGGGUUGUACAUAGUACAUGCCACGAGAAAGAUGGACUGGUCACUUGAUAUAUAGUAUAUCCAGCAGUGAAAAAGAAAAAGUAUUUUAAGUUAUUAACAAGCACACACAAAAUAUUAAAAUGUAUCAGUAGAAAGUGGCUUAGGUGAUGGGUCUAAAGAUAAAUAUAUAUGAAUCUUGAGAGUGCAUUACUGCCGAAGACAGAGAGCAUCUGAAGGCACUAAGGAGGCCAAUGAAUGGAAGCUAUGAUUUCUAGAUGCUGGUGAAGAUACAGAUAGACAUGGUAGCAAGAGGCAUUGUCUAGAGGCAUACCUCAUGUUUAUGAGAGCAUCCAAAAUGAAGUCUUUAUUCUAUUUUUAAGAAUUUUGAGGCUGACGGCUGACUGUCCAAGCAUCCUUGAAAUGAUGAUGUUGAUGAUUUAAACAAAUAAGAUAGUGGUGAGAUGAAUAAUUUAGCACAGUUGAGCAUAAUGGGAGUAGCCUUCUAGUAAUUUUGACUGACAACAAACUAGCUUGGCAGGUGCAUGUAGUACUUCGAUAUAAGGUUACAGUCAAAUAUUUAGUACCAGAUUUACAGGCUCCAGAGCUGACAUGAAACAAGACACAAAUAUUAACCAUGUGCAGGGAUGAAAGUAACUCUUGUCGAAGAGAUCUUUAAAUGCUGAUAGGGGCAUGAGCAAGGACAAGGUUGAGAAGCUGAUGUGGCAUGGAGGUGGCCAAAUGGUCCCAAUGUCAAGAGAACAUCAAGGAAAUGGAACAAGGGCUGCAAAUUUAGGUCAAAUACCUGGUGCAGUUAUGGUUGUGGAAGUGAUGAUAAUAAUCAAGACACAAGUAGAGUCCACCCAUUUCCUAGAAUAAAUGAAUUGUCGGCUUGUGAUGAGGAUAGUGAUGCCAUUCUCCCAUGGUGCUUCUAUAUAAUUGUAGAUAUGAUG